CUCAUGGUUUCACGGUAUUGCAAUGAGAACAAUUUAAAACCCUUAGCGAGAAUCAAGUGGGGGACAAGUCUGGUGCCAGCACCCGCGGUAAUUCCAGCUCCACUAGCGUAUAUUAAAGUUGUUGCAGUUAAAAAGCUCGUAGUUGAACCUCUGUCUGGGGCUAGUUUUGGCUUUGGUCAGGCUAGUUCUAGGCAUCCGCCUACAAGACUUAGAGGGCAUUCAGUUGUUCACUAGGAGGAGUAGGCAUUUUACUUUGAAAAAAUUAGAGUGUUUAAGGCAGGCAAUCGCCCGCAUAUAUUAGCAUGGAAUAAUAGAAUAGGACACUUUUCCAUUUCGUUGGUUAUUGGAAUCGUGUAAUGAUUAAUAGGGACAGUUGUGGGCAUUUGUAUUUAAUUGUCAGAGGUGAAAUUCUUGGAUUUAUUAAAGACAAACUAACGCGAAAGCAUUUGCCAAGGAUGUUUUCAUUAAUCAAGAACGAAAGUUAGGGGAUCAAAGACGAUCAGAUACCGUCCUAGUCUUAACUAUAAACUAUUCCGACUCAAUGUUUGGCUGGCUUAUAUAACCAGUUGAGCGUUGUAUGAGAAAUCAAAGUCUUUAGGUUCUGGGGGGAGUAUGGUUGCAAAGCUGAAACUUAAAGGAAUUGACGGAAGAGCACAACAGGAGUGGAUUCUGCGGCUUAAUUUGACUCAACACGGGGAAACUUACCAGGUUAAAACAAUAGUGGGAUUGACAGUUUGAGAGCGCUUUCUUGAUUGGUUGGGUGGUGGUGCAUGGCCGUUCUUAGUUGGUGGAGUGAUUUGUCUGCUUAAUUGCGUUAACGAACGAGACCUUAACCUGCUUACUAGACUGGCGAUCAUCAAUCGUUAGCUCUUCUUAGAGGGACUUUGGUUGUUUUAACUCCAAGGAAGUUUGAGGCAAUAACAGGUCUGUGAUGCCCUUAGAUAUCCUGGGCCGCACGCGUCAUACAAUGACUAGUUCAGAAAGUUUUCUCCUGACCCGAAAGGGGAUGGGUAAUCUUGAUAAUACUAGUCGUGUUAGGGAUCGAUCUUUGCAAUUAUAGAUCUUGAACGAGGAAUUCCUAGUAAGUGCGGUUCAUCAGACCGUACUGAUUACGUCCCUGCUCUUUGUACACACCGCCCGUCGCUUCUACCGAGUGGGUGGUCCGGUGAGAUAAUUGAACUUCGCAGGUAACUGAGAGGAAAGAUUAUCAAACCUAUCCACCU
This 1223-nucleotide ribosomal RNA is filed under the name metagenome. RNAcentral's name for it is "SSU rRNA". It matches the Rfam family "Eukaryotic small subunit ribosomal RNA", at positions 493 to 1774 of the family's 1831-position model. The record is from RNAcentral.